This is a long non-coding RNA of Rhea pennata, 7681 nucleotides long. RefSeq lists it as uncharacterized. The transcript is spliced from 2 exons. The record is from RefSeq and is a predicted model, not a curated record. NCBI's taxonomy places the organism in Eukaryota, Metazoa, Chordata, Aves, Rheiformes, Rheidae.
UAGUACAGGCAUAAAGCGAAACAGCACCAAAGGGCAUAAGGACAGCACAAGCCCGUAUCUUCCUCUGCCAGGGAGGGAUGAGUCUCGUGAGAUUCCCAGCUCCGUUGUGUGACAGCCUGACGUUUCAGGGGAAGUGGGAGAGAGGGAAAACUCUCUGCCUCUUCUCAUUUCAUUGCAACCCGGUUGCUGCCAGCAGGUAGACCAAAAAGAGGAAAAUCUGGCAAGUAGAAGGGAAAUGCACUGUUUGCAUUGGCAAUAUUGCUCUUGGAUCCCAAAACAGAGGUGCCUCCCGGUGAAGUCAUCAGCUCGAAGACCAGACAGGAGCUCAUUUGGGUGAACUCUUACUGCAAGUCCUAGAGCUGUGCCUGCAAGCUCCUGCGCUGAGCCACCGACAUGGGAUUGAACCAGAUCCCAUCAUUUGGAAGGGCAUCAAACUUUGAUUUACAACCUGCAAGUGAUGGUAAUCCAUCCAUGAACUGUGGUUAUUUACUGCAUAUCUUCUUGCCUUUUAGGACUCUGCUUCUCUACUGGAUUUACAAGACUCCAAACAGAUGCAGCUGAACUAUACCACUGAUUCACGUACACACCUCUUCUCAUACAGAUGAUGACUGCAUCACAUAAGCCGGCACUCUGAAAUAGUGCACAGUGAAAUAGCACAGCAGUUCUCAUUUGAAGUCUAUAGUGGGAGAGUAAUUUCCAAAAAUGAAGAGUAAAGUUCCUAAUCCGUAGCAGCUUUUUGCCAAAGAGAUGUGGGAGAGAAGAAACAGGAUGCAUCCUGCAUGAAUCAUCACUGUAACCACCCUGGAUUUAUUAACUGAAAUUAUGAGGAACACCGAAAAUUAUUAAAGCCUCCAAAUGCAUUGCCUCAGGCACUGGAUAAUGUAAGAUAUUACCAUAGUCUUCCUUCUGAUUUUAAAAGAUCAAGGACUAAAAGGAUCAAACUUUCAUAACUGAAUUAUUCAUUUUUUAAAAUGAUGGGACAGCUAUCAUUAUCCCACAUCCCAGAUGGGGGUAAUGACACCCCCAUGUCCUGGGAACUCACUUGUUCCCCAACACAGGGUUGGGGACAACCUCCUUUUCCCAGCUGAUUCAUGGUCUAACUUGAAUAUGUUAAAAGGAUGGGACAAAACAUUAGAAAGGAGGAAGGAAACCAGGGUCUGCUGAAGAAGUCAGAUGGAGAAGACACAAUUGUAGAAGCCUGACUGGGCGGUUUCAGCAGCCCACUGGUAAAAUAAACCUGUGGCUAGGGUGCAGAGAGGGGCAAAAGUCACCUACGCUGAUUCCCAGCUGGUGACCCAGGUGAUACGACGUGGUGGCCACGGUCCCAUGUCGAUUGCAUCCUGUACACCACCUGAACAGUAGCCAACACUUUACUUGUUAUUGAAAGAAGAUGAAUGACCAAAGCCCAUCAAAUUCAGGCACACGCUCUUCACUGAGUCUUCUCAGACUAAAGAAGUGCUGUAGUGCCUCAUCCAGAGAGGUCCAUGCCACAAGAUCUGAAAUGCAUGUCCCAUCUGUCCCUUCUCUGUGGCCAUCUGAGCAAGCCCCUAUGGUAGAGCUCACAGAAACUAGGGCUCAAGUUGCUCUCCAUGUGAACAACACCUGAAAGGGAGAAGAUCACACCAUGAGGCUUCUGCAGGGAAACAUCAAAACAGCUGAGGCAAGAGACAGGAAUUUCUCCAUGUCUGUGUGUGAAGGAGAGCUGGACUGCAGCUGGAGGUCAUUGCAGCAUCUGUUAAAACAUCUCCUUGGGGGUCCUUCCUCCAUACUUUGCUUUAUAUCCCCAUCAUAGUCUUCGCGGGGAAGAGGAAAGAGGGCACAAGUCAUCUUCAUAUUGGAAGCGGUACUACUGUGCCCCCCACCAAGCCCUGCCUGCAUGAACCAUUUACUCUACCUAUUCCAGUCCCUGCUGGAGCUUUUGGUCUUCCCCAGAAGCAGUCACUGAAAUCCAGAUAUCCAGGGACUCUGUAUCCAGGGGCUCUCUCCAAGCUGCAGGAGUAUGAGGGACCCCUGUUUCUGCGGGACAGUAGCAGGACUAUUCUUGCCUUUUAAGGCAUAUACAUCCAGUGUCCCCUCUCCCCACAGCCUUGUCCCCCAGUAUUAUACAAGCUCAUUCUUGAAGCCUGGGCCAGUAGAUUACAAUCGUGUUCAGCUCAGUUGUGCCCUAGCUGCCAUGAACCUAAAAUAAAAAUACAUGCUAUCCUCAAAGGCCAGUCCUGGUUCUGCAGGGCUCCCCUUGGGAGCUGGCUCUUGAAGGCUCCUGGAGGGAAGUGAUAUCCCUGCCUGUUGCUUUCCUUUGCUGAUUAUAUGUGAAUCUCUGCUCCAGGUCCCAGUUCCUCUAGUCACCUGCUCAAGUUCCCCUUUUCAUUGGCCUUGGACAUUUUUGCAGUCUGCAGAGUUGAGUGCUCUUCCUGCACUGGUUCAGCCCUGCUAGCUCCCUUUGAGGUCACAGCACACAGUCAUUUUGUUGCUCUCCAUUUGCCCUCUCAUGACCUGGGCUUCUGGCCCUGCUCAGACCCGUGCAAAUCUUCUGGGAGGAAGUGAUUUGAGCAAUAUUGUUCUCAAUGGAGCAGGAAUCACCGCAGUGCCCCAGGGUGAGAAAUCCUGUUGCGUGUCAGCCCAGAGCUACAGCCUCAGUGCAGGAAACUGCCCUGGAACAAGAGUGAGGAAAAGCUUUGCUCAGUAUUACAUCAAAGACUCAGCGUGGAAGGUGAGGCACAAGUAUGGGAAUAUAGCCCUUGCCUCUGUCUGGGCUCAGUUAACUGCUAGGUCUCUUCCUAUACCUCUUCUUGCUAGCUCUCUUCACUGAUGGAGCAAUAAGAAGAGCAGCAGAGAUGAAAAUGUGCCUCCCAGAGGGGUCUAUUCUUCCUGAGCAGAUCUCUGUAUAUUAAGAUAACAAUAUGUUCCCUUCACAAUUCAGAGAGGCUGAGAGAGGCUCAGGCAGGGAAGCUCAAAACUAAAUUAGCAGCCAGGUCAUUUCCACUUCAAGCUGACAGAGCUCAAGCAGAGGAAGGAGAAGGACUGCUUGUUGAUUUUUUCUCCUCAGCUCAACAGGCACACUGACAUUGCAGCACCCUGUAAAAUAUGUCAGAUGUAGGUCACUGUCUCCGGGACUGAAAUGGCCUAAGUUGCGGCAUUUAUUUAAAGAUAAAUGCCUCCUCUCAAUGAAGCAGUUUCUAUAUGAAUGAAACAAUGCUGCAAAGCCUGGAAAUGAUGAGCAUGGAUUUACCAGGGAGGAGAAAAAAAGAUGAGGAGGUCCCAGAAAACAGGCUAAAAGGGAUAGACCAGGUAGUCUAUCUCCCAUCUAUGCGGUUCAGUUCUAGGCUCGGUUUGAUUGCAGGCUCUCCCCACAGUCAAAGGUGUUCAGUUGGGAAGGCUGGAUACCUACUCCCUGCUGUUUUUAAAGAUGAAUAUUAAUGUGGUUAAUUGCAAGUCAUCUAGGCACUGUGCCAGGACUAAAAGGUAUCUACUAAGAAACUGCCAAAAAACAUUGUUAAUCAGGACCUAGGAAAAAAGCCAGACACAAAAAUUUAUGGUGCUUAUCUCUGCAAUAAUAAUUUCACAGUAGUCACCCGAGGACGAGAGCAAAGGUCAUCGCUUUUGUAUCAGCCGGAGUUUGUGCAAUCCUUUGUUUCCUUUUGUGUAAGUUUGCCCUGCAUAUUUGAUGCAGACGACCCUACAAAUGAAUGCAAAAAUCUGGCAGUCCAUGUUGAUCCAUUUGCUCCCAUUCUUUGCUCCAGACCAAAGAAUAGCGCAAUGUGGAAUCAAAAACCUCCCUAGCGUUGGUCAAAACUCAACCCAGAUUCUAAUUCAGGAAAAAAAGCAGGUUUUGCCUUAUUUUAAAGGAGUUAUCCAUAGGAAUGGUUCAAUGAACUUCUGUGUUGUUGCAGCUGCAUUGAAUACUAUCUAUAGUCACAAUAGGCUAAAUAAGUAUUUUGUGCAAAGGCAACAGCCAAUUUCACCUUAGAUUUCCUUCCUUCCAGCAGGAGGGGAGACCAGCAAGAGACCUGUGGAGACCUCUGCAAAUAAAUGAAAGGAGAUGAGGCUCUUUUUCGCUGUUAUUUCCUGGUCAUAUAGUAGAGGCAAUUCUAAGCCAAAUAUACAGUUUGCUUCUUGUCACAGCUGCCGAGAUUUACAACCUUAAAGUGAGGCUCAGCUUUCAGAUAAUUUCCAAACCAGCCCCAUAAAAUUAAUUGACUAUCCCAGAAUAUUGGCUUUGGAUGUUAUUUAUUUUUUGGGUGAAGUUCUGGUCCCAGUAAUUGCAGAGAAAACCUUGAAAACAUGAUCUCUGUGAGCCUUCGUGACUCAGAGUGUGGGAUUCAGCUGCCUACGCACAGGAGCCUUGUGCCAUCUGAGAUGCCCUUGUAUAUCUGAGACAUCCCACAGUGUUGGCAAAGUGACACACAGCCUAAGGAAGGCGUGUACUCUUCAGAAGCAAGAGCUGGAGUCUGUGGGCAGAUAUCCUAUAGCAUCUAAACUGGUACUAAGAAACUACGUUUAGACAACUGAAUUAAGCCCUAAUUCACAAAUUUCAGAUACUUCCAAUCAAAUCAAUCAACCAGUCCAUCAGUUUCAGGAGAUAUUUCCAAAUCUUCAGAUUUCAUGUUCAUGGAAGCAAUUUGAAGUACUAUUUUCUAUGUUCAGGACUGUGUUACAAACACACUAUUUGCUUCACUAAUGCUUCAGACCAUACUGAAGUAUUCAACUGGCCCAGACUGCUUGCUUUCCACCUUGUCUGUUAACUUCUUGGUCUCCUUCUUCUGGUCAUUCUGACACUCCAUCUCAACCAUGGAACAUAUAUAUUUCCUUGUCUGAUUUCCAGAUUGCAAGAGAAAAAGUAGAGAUUUUCUGUGCAAAAUGCAGAGGCAAAGAUUUUCCACAAGGCGAGGUGGAAGAGUGUGACAUGCUUUAUGGAGCCCUGAGGUGCAGCAGAAGGGGCUGGCACACAAACCAUCAGCAGCUCCUGGGCAGCAUUACCUCAGAAAGUCAGAGCCUUCAUGGAAAAGCAGGAUAUUUUUAGUUUACCAAGUUUAUUUAAAUCAUAUUGGUGUACAUUAAAAUUAUAGUAAUUAUCCCACCUUCUCAUGUGGGAUUCUGUGCAGUGAGGGAUUGGUGGAUUGUGUGCUGAUGGAGUCAUCUCUGAUGAGGUCCCUCUGCAAAACAGAAUUAUUUUGUUUCCACAUUUCACAGCUGCAGCAUUCUUGGCCUAUUAAUAUUUGACAGUUGAAUAUUGGGAUCUUUUCACAUCACACCCUUCUCUCCCCAGAGUCCGCCUCUCAUGGCUCGCAGCACCCCAGACAACUGUCACAAUGCAAAUUCCCCAAAGGACUGCAUUUACACACUCCUGGAGCUGUAAGUUUACACAUUCAGACAAGGCUGAUGUUUUCUUUACAGCAGCAUUUAACUUCUGAAUUAUUUCUCCUUUCCUCUAUACGACUGCAUUGUGGUGCCAUGCAAAGAAACCUGGCAUCUCCCAGCUCCUUGCUCUCUGCUCACUGCCCCACCAGCGAAGGGCUGGGAGGGUGACUUCACUACAGGAGCACAAUUUAAACAGAGAUGUUAAAAAAUGUAACAUAUUACACCAAAAAAAAGGAUACAUUCCCUUUUCAGAUCAGAAGUUUCAUAUUUCCGAUUGCAAAAAUAAAAAGAAGGGGGCGGUUGAAUGAAACAAUCAUUUUCCUUGGCAGAGAAGACAUUUCCCUUGUCAAUGAAGUCACCACCAAAUUCUGGAUUAUCUCUGGUUUUAAUCCUGCUUUUAAGAGUCAGCGCUUCUGGAGAAUUUAACAUGGGUCUUCUGAUGGUGGCAAGUGAUUCUCAUUCUGGCUGCCUGAGCAUGGAUAUUUUUGGAGGACCAUCAGGAACCACUAGGAGGAGAUCUGGUCUAUCACCUCCUCCUGAGACAGAUCUACGCUCCUUGGGAGCUACGCUAUCCCCACUCAUCCAGACUGCAGAUCCACCCCUCCAUUGCCCCCUCACCUCCUUCAGCUCACAUCGAGAAGUCCCUAUCAACCCCCAUCUGCACAAAGGAAACCUUGCCAGCAUGUGGCCCUUCCCCUCACACCCAUGUUUUCUGGCCCUUUCCCGGCUCUUUUUGUAGCAUGUUCCUGAUUAUCUCUCUGAAUGCUGCAGAAAAAUGCUGCUUUUCCUGAAUACUAAGUAAGGAAGAAAAAAAAAACCACACAUUUGCUUCCUAGACUAUGUUUAUUUUCCUCUGGCUUGAAGUUCACUGUUACCGCUGAAGGAUUUUGUGACCUGUGGAGAUAUUUGAUCCAAGUGACCUCUGGUGUUUGGAACGCUGAUAUGAUCCCAUAGCAAGUUUACUCUUACACACAUCUUAUAUAGCUAUCCAUCCAUAUAUCCAUAUAUACAACUAUCUUCCUCUUUAUCUUUCUCAUUCCCGUGCUAUCUGAUUGGUUUUUGGCUUUUCUUAUACUUCUUUCAUUGAAUUAAUAUAUUUUCCCCAAAGAUGUUUCCUCACUCUCCAAGAUUUUCUCCUUUUGCACCCUGUCAUUUCUCUCUCCAUCCUGUCUUCUCCAGAUCCAUUCCCCUUCCCUCCAUGCUGCCCAUUUAAAGUUGUGCUGUGUAUUCAGCAUAACAUAUAUAUUUAAGUGGGAUGAUUUCCACUAAUGUAAACAGUCUGGCCCAUUAAUUUCAAUAGUGGAGCUGACAGCUCGGGCCUGGAGUUUCAUUGCUUAGUGACACAUGAGUACAGCUGCUUGAACUUGAUGGGUAACUGUUUCCAGCGCUUAGCUGCACAUCUGCAGGAGGAAGGAAAUACUUUCUGUAAUACUGGAAAAAACAAAGCUGCCUAGAUUCCUCCCCCCUCUCUUUCCCCAGAUGAUGAUAUUCAUCAUUCAAAUGUUUCAGCCGAGUGGGUGUUUAAUUCAGAAUUUGAAGGGGGACAUUUAUGAUGCGUUACUAGUUUUGUUGUCAAUUCUUUGUGCCAACCAUCGCGUUGUUGCCUGGACCAAGGAUUCCUUCAAAGCCCACAGUGUACUGGGAUAUAUUCAGUAGCACUGGGCAGUCUUGGCACGUUCAGAACCGAUUAGUUGUUUAUUACACCUGAGAUCCGUUUCUCUCCUCAAGGAGAUUGCUAUAUCGACAGAGGAGAACCAGCAAUGAGAUUUCUUUUAGAUGGAUCUAGCUUGAAUAUACCAUGCCAUGUAUGGGCUAGGGUCUGAGACAUAAGCUUUACUCAUGGCCACCUUGGAUUGUGAAGACAAAGUCAGCAAAGCUUCAAGAUUGACCUAAACUUUUCAGGGUUUCGCUUCCAGUUGUUCCAAGAAAAUGUGUGAUUAAUACCACAAGCUGCUCCAGCUUUACUUCCUCCAAGUGACACAAAUGUUGUCAUCCACCACGUCAUUAGCUACCUGGAAAAACUGAGCUACCUGUUGCAAAUCUUUUGUACUGCAGCCUGCUGGCUAGCUGUUUUCUCACAUGCCGACCUGUGUGUGAUCUUCACUUGGCAGCUGCGCAGCAGGGGGAAACAGGCUGUGAGUGCCACACUUCUGGUAAUAUCCAUGCAGUGAUGAUCAUCAGCUCAAACCAUGGUGAAUAUGGAAAGAAAGGAAUUGCUUUGAGAGCAGGGCUGUUACUUUCACUGGGAACAUAAAAAAAAGCAAAUCUUCUGAAUUACAUGCUACUGUCUUCCUAAGUAUAAACCACAAUUUUCAAUCUCUAA